AUGAUACUGAUUCAUUUGUCUUCUAUCUGAUCUGGUCUAUGGAAUGCGGAUCCUAUACAUGUCUUCUGGAACAUUGAAAUGAGGGAUAUAUGGUCAAGUGAUAUAUCUGAUGAUAACACCCCUGAUCUGAAAGUUAACUUGAUUGACCGUGCAACAAUCAAACAAAAACAUACAAGAUCAACCAUGCUAACUUAAACCAGACCCAAGAUGCUACCCUCAAUACACACAUUCUCCUAUUCCCAACAUGACCUUUUCUAUUACUGAUAAUCAUACUUCUUAAGUGAUCCAAAUCUUCUCAUGUAGUAAUUGGCUUGAAGAUUCAUUCGAAUAAUUACACUUCCCGAUGAAAGUUGGUUUCACAUUUCUCCACCGCUUUCUCUUCACAUAACACCACCUUAUGUUCUAUCCUUCCUCCGAAUAUCAUUUCCCUUCAUGUUCGCACUUAAGUUGUCUUCAUUGAGUUAUACCUUUCAUUUCAUGCUCCAUUCUACUGCUCACUCAUGAUUUAUAACUCUAUGAUUCUUUGGAGACCUUUAUCACUCGACGGACUCUUCAUGUUUCCUAUGGUCGGAAUUG
RNAcentral lists this long non-coding RNA (576 nucleotides) under Brassica napus (rape). RNAcentral describes it as "long non-coding RNA (BNAP_LNC023643)". The record is from RNAcentral. Lineage: Eukaryota; Viridiplantae; Streptophyta; Magnoliopsida; Brassicales; Brassicaceae.